UACGGAGGGGGCUAGCGUUGUUCGGAAUUACUGGGCGUAAAGCGCACGUAGGCGGCUUUGUAAGUUAGAGGUGAAAGCCCGGAGCUCAACUCCGGAAUAGCCUUUAAGACUGCAUCGCUAGAACGUUGGAGAGGUAAGUGGAAUUCCGAGUGUAGAGGUGAAAUUCGUAGAUAUUGGGAAGAACACCGGUGGCGAAGGCGGCGCUCUGGACCGAGACUGACGCUGAGGCGCGAAAGCGUGGGGAGCAAACAGG
RNAcentral lists this ribosomal RNA (253 nucleotides) under uncultured bacterium. RNAcentral's name for it is "partial 16S ribosomal RNA". It matches the Rfam family "Bacterial small subunit ribosomal RNA", at positions 524 to 776 of the family's 1533-position model. The record is from RNAcentral.